RNAcentral lists this long non-coding RNA (6984 nucleotides) under Pelobates cultripes (western spadefoot toad). Lineage: Eukaryota; Metazoa; Chordata; Amphibia; Anura; Pelobatidae. The record is from RNAcentral.
CAUUGCUGUGCUACCUGGGAUGGGCCCGAUUUACCGGAGAUUGUACCUCCUGGGAUUUGAAGCCUACCCUGACGAUUGAGUGCGGAAGUUAGCCGCUCCCUAUUUCUGCAGUGUACCAGCCCUCUCCAAUUCAACUUUGCUGCCCUGUUCCCCCCACCCUUGGACCAGUGGUGCCUGGCCCCCAUGGAAAGGUAAUAAAACAAUGGAUUAAAUACUGCACCAGUAAACAAAAUGACAAUUCGGGAUCAAUCUAAAAAACACAAAUAACAUAACAUAGUGCAAAAUGUAUAUAUAUAAUGAUAGACCCCUUAUGUAGAGUAAAACUCACAGCAUUUAGAGCCAUCCCAGGCUCUAUAUAAUAUGCAGGAGGGUGCCUAAAAAGGCUAAAACGAUAUCCUUGAGGAGAGCAGCACAGGAUACAAAGUGCAGAAUGCAAAAUUUAUUGAACAAAUAAAAAAUUAAAACAGGGACAAUAAGCAGUGUAUAAAUAGUAAAAUAUACUAGGCACAAAGCCUAAAUAAAGCACCGCAGAGUAAAUAAGAAAAAGUCCCAGAUACAAUACUUUGGUCUAGCAGCAAACACAUUUUAACUUCAGCUGGAGUCUUCCUUAGUGCUGUGGUGCUCUCUGUGAAAAGGUAACUGGCUGGAGUGGGCACUGGAGGUGAAAGCCUAAUUGCUUUCAGAUGGCUGAGAAACCAAACACGCUGUCUGACAUGUGGAUGAUAGAGUUAUUGGCAGCCUUUGAAUAUAUAAGCAAUAAAUGCGAAGACUUCUUAGCCCGAAUAACACAUAGAUCAAUCCAGCCGAACCACACAAUCUAUUUCCUGGAGAGUGGUGGAAGUUGAUGCAGAGGGAGGCCACAGGCACCUACACCGGGCAUACCUGUCAGGACCAGCAAGAUGGCUCAUCUGAAAUUCCUACCCGAGCAGAGAGCUCACAGAGUUAACCUUGCGUCACCGUCCAUACCCGUGGAGGGGGCUUGGAUGAGUCAUCGGGCAAACCGUUUACGAUCAAGACCCCUGAAGGGGAUAGACUUUGGUACUACUAGAUGCUAGGUUUGCGGAGACUUGGUGUCGGCUCUUACUGACACUCAGGGAUGGUGUGGUAACCACGUUUGGCCUACCUGAUGUGCUUUGACCAACGAAUCUCAUGUGAGAGCGCAGCUCUCAAUUAGACUGGGCAUCGGCUGACACAGGCCUACUUCUGGGGCUCCCGGUUCUCACAUAGCACCCUCACAGGCGCUUUGAACACAAUAUCUGCUGGGAGGCUUUCCUUAUAGCAUUGUUGCCUCAACUGCCAGUGCCAAUUUUGUCAAGUUUGUCUUUUUUUUGUUUUCUUUAUCUGGCACUGUUCUGCAUUUAUUUACUAAGCAUGUUAUAUAUUUUUUAUUUUAUUAUUAUUUGAAGCAUGUCAUUAGUCAAGUCAUAUUGUUAGAAUGUAUUGCCUGAUUUUACCUUUCUGCUAUACAUGCUUUCUCCUCUACUGCCAUUCUGCGUGACGUACUUCAAUGUGAUACCACAUUUACACAAUUUCUUUGCUCUCCACUUUUUAUUUUAUUAUAUUUUUAUCUAUUUGACUUGGUCUGCGCUAGGAUUUUUUCCCUUGGGUUUAAAGCACUAAAGUGAGUAGCUGCAUAAUUAUAUUUAGUUUAUUAUAAGGAUUUCAUUAUAAAUCUUUUUUAAAAGUAACAAUUUUAUUCAAAAGCUUUUUUCCCUAUAUAUAUAUAUCCUGGAUCAUAUCAUAUAUAUAUAAGAAAACUGAGAUGCUUGCACUCCUGGAUUAGAGAGUAAUUGCCCGGUGCUGGUCAGGCACGAGAUACAAAAAAAAGAUUGGAAAUGACCGCACUCCAAGGACUUGUUGAUAGUAAAAAUAAAAUAUAACUUUUAUUCUAUAUCAUAUAAAAAAAUAUACAUGGGCUUUCAUCAGGAUGGCAAUACAAUACGCAAAUACAUAUAAAAUACUUAUACAGCAAAACAUAAAAGGAUACUAACCAGCUUCAUGUGUGAGAGAACCGAAAUGGCAUUCAAACUGCACGUGUAACAGCUGAUCAGAGUGCUUCAACCGUAGUUGCUAGGCACUGCGUUCCAUUUGGUUGCUUGGUGAUCAGUGAAACGCAAUUUCACCCGAUUGCUAUGCUGUUAGAUCAGUAGACACAGAGCUGGUAUUGCUGUGUGUAUGGAUCGUGAAAUCAUUCUCUCUGCCUGCUACUUUCUGGCACUGUGUCUGGAAUGCAAUUGAUACAAAGUAUCAGUAGGCACCAUACAUCGAUGUGCUGCAGCACUAACAGGAUAGAGCCCUUGACAGGACUUCAGUCUGGCAGAGUGCAAAUACCAUCACACUCAGUCAGCUGGGUCUUCACUUCUCACAAAUAAAGGGGUGAUAUAAGUGCCGAUUGUGAGAUCUUAUCCUCAACCAAAUGCAACGCAGUGCCUAGCAACUACGGUUGAAGCACUCUGAUCAGCUGUUCCACGUUUUAACGCCAUUUCGGUUCUCUCACACAUGAAGCUGGUAUUUUAUAUGUAUUUGUGUAUUGUAUUGCCAUCCUGAUGAAAGCCCAUGUAUUGGGGCUGAAACGUCGAUAUUGUUUUAUAUGAUAUUGAAUAAAAGUUAUAUUUUAUUUUUACUAUCAACAAGUCCUUGGAGUGCGGUCAUUUCCAAUCAUUUUUUUUUGUAUCUUGUGCCUGACCAGCACCGGGCAAUUACUCUCUAAUCCAGGAGUGCAAGCAUCUCAGUUUUCUUGUAUCUGUGGACUCCAUGGGCAGGAGCCCUGCCAUGCACCCGGUAUUGAUUUCUCAAGUCUGAAUUUAAUAAGACAAUUAUCAGCGUAACUUGAGUGUCUAUAUUUACACAUUUUUUUUUUUAUAUAUUGAGGUCUAUACUUUUCUGUUUUUAUAUUUAUUUUUUUAUAUUUUUUAUGGAAGAUUUUUUGGAACAAGCAGGAGGACUGUUAGAGCAAGCCGAAAUCCUCCAAUACACUGAUGAUGACGCAGCUAGGAUCAGGUGGGACACCGCAACCACUGACCUUCCAAGCACUACUUCUCUUACUGACAUUUAUCAUGAACUGCUACGUCUAAGAAAGAGAGAAACAGAUUUGGACCUGCAUGGAUUAUUCCUGUCUGACUAUCACCGCAAACUUCAAAUACCGUGUGGAUUUUGGGUAAGAAAUAUCCCUACUAUUGGCCGUUUAAAACCUAAAGUCUGUAAAAAAUGGAUAGCGGUCCUUAACAAAUGUUCCCUGGACCUUAUGCUUGUAAUAAUAGUAAUGAUGUAAAGGAAGAUUUAACAGUGGUUAGGAAAAAAAUCGUGGAGCUUGAAUCAAAGCAAGCAUUAUUACUUUCAUCCACUGAAGCAGCUCCAACAAUUUUGAAGCUGGAAGAGAAUCUAAAAGUCUAUAAAACAGACCUAAUUAGGUUUAAGAGAGACAAGCAAGUUAAAGUUGAAGGUGACUAUAAAGAUCACAGGGUCUAUAAAUGGCUCGCAGGUCACACUGAGAGACCAUUCCCGUAUAGACGUAGAAAACCGAUAAGAAAACCAAGACAGUAUACAGUUGAUCAAACCUCAGGGAAUUCUUCAUCGGAAUCAGACAUACAUUAUACAACCACGAGCGCACCAGAAAGGGAGCCUUUUUUAGAGUCAGACCCAGGAUCAUCCAGGAUCCACACGAGACUAACCACACAACUAGAAGCCGAAGGCAUAGCACCAGGCGUGGGCAAAAGGGCAGAGCCUAUAGGACCACGAUACAAACCUCCCAGACCACCUAAAUUAUACCAAUUUUUAAUCUUUCAUCGAGAACUCUCACCAGGGAUGAGGAACAACUCCUCAUGAAAGGACUUUCCUUUGUAACUAAUCCCCCUAAUGCAUUUGACAGUGAAAUUGAACUGUUUAAAUUUGGGAGAAAUCUGCGUUUGAAAGAAUUUUUUAAAGGGACGGUACAAUCUACUGAUUCCAAUAUGCACCAAUUCAGAGUUAAGAGCACAUUCGACCCUGCAACUUCUCAUGCUUCUAUUAAAACUUUCUUGAGAAAUGUACAACAAGAAAUGAACAAAGCAGCCCACAACAGAGGAACACAACAGUCCAAUAUCACGAAGAAAGAGAGAAGCAUCAUACAAUCACUGGCCCAGGACAAAACUCUUGUCAUCAGACCUGCAGACAAGGAAGGCGGGAUUGAACCCAUUGCCAAAUGGCUUGAUUUUCUAUUCAAAAGCAGCAUUGAAGCUAUUCCAACAUGCCUUAAAGACACAUCAGAUCUUUUGAAACAACUAAAUCAAAUUACUUUACCUGAUGGCCCAAUAACAUUGUCCACCUGCGACAUUAAAAGUCUUUACACCAUAAUACCGCACAAAGACGGUGUCGAGGCUAUGCGUACUACGCUAAGUGAAUUUGGAGUAUAUGAUGGACCUCCUAUUGAAUUCGUGUUAGAACUAUUGGAAUUGGUACUAACACUGAAUUAUUUCAGAUUUGAGCAUUUGUGGUAUAAACAAAUCUCGGGCACCUCGAUGGGUGCAGAAAUGGCGCCUAAUUAUGCCAACAGUUUCAUGUAUAGUUUUGAGAAGGACAAUAUCUUACAACCAUACUCUAACAAUAUCAUCUUUUAUAGACGUUUUAUUGAUGACCUGUUUUUUGUGUGGAAAGGUGACGCACAAUCAAUGUCGACGAUGGUCCAGGAGAUCAAUGACAUGAACACACCGGUGAAAUUAACACUAACAGCAAGUACAGAUGGUGUUGAUUUUCUUGAUGUCCAUAUAUUCAGACAAAACAACCAACUGGCUUAUAGUCUGUACACAAAGCCUACUGACAGAAAUACAAUACUGCAUUCGGCUAGCUUCCACCCGAAACACCUUAAAGCCUCAUUACCGUAUUCACAAUUCCUAAGGGUACUUAGAAAUAACUCGGAACCCCAGACAGCACAACAACAAAUCAUUCAAAUGUGGAAUAAGUUUGAGGAAAGAGGCUACAGCAAUCGAACACUACAGCAGGCAUGGGAUAAAUGCCAGGCAAACACCGUCACAGACACUUCAAAUAUCUCUAGAUUGGUUUUUCCAAGCACCUUCACCACAAUGUCAUCCAAAUUGAAAGAAACAGUGGACUCCUAUUGGCAUAUUCUAGCCAACGAUCCAACAUUGCCAGCAGAAUUCCGACAACCACCUAUGAUGAGCUAUCGGCGGGGCAAGAAUUUCCGUGAUCUUUUAGUUAAAAUGGACCCCACACAUUGAUACAUGAAGGAACAACAGCAAACGAAUGUGGGCUGUUACCGAUGUCUGGGAUGCGUCACGUGUGGCCAUAUGAUUCCUAGUAAAACCUUCCUCCAUCCACACACAGGGAAACAAUAUAAAAUACGUCACAGACUGACAUGUACGACUGUUUUUGUCAUAUACAAACUACAGUGCCCAUGUGGAUUAUCCUACAUAGGGAAAACAGACCUACCACUCAGAGAAAGAAUUAGGAACAAUCGGUCUAAUAUCAGAGUGGCAUACAGGGAGAAAAAAGCAGAACUGCCAGUAGCCAAACAUUUUUUGGCAAUGGGACACCAACUCCCGACUCUCAAAUUCACAGCUAUUGAUCAUGUACCUCCCCUGCUACGGGGUGGUGAUCGGAAAAAACUCUUGUUACAGCGUGAAACAUUCUGGAUUAGGACAUUAGACACAGUGUGGCCUAAAGGUCUUAAUGAAAAAGUGUCAUUCUCCAUGUUUCUAUAAAUCUAUAUAUCUGCAAUCUUGAUUAUAACCAAUAGAUUUUUGUGACUCUGUGAAUGUAUUAUUCACGGGUAUUUCUCCCUUUCUGUGGGAUUUAAUUACCUACAUUUAUCUCUCUUCCAUUUUUUUCGCUCUAGAUGGAAGUUUUUUCAGAACUAUCUUCAUUCAAAACAAUGGGUAUAGGGGAUUUUUUCUGUAUUCACCCAAUAUGUUUAACUUUUAUAUCUUUAAAAUCAAAAGUUUAAUGUAAUUAUGUCUAGUCAUCUUAGUCAAACAUGAAUGUAAUCUUACCCAAUAUAUAAUAUUUGGAUGCACUUAAACAGCGUCUCUAAUAACAUAGUAGUCAGUGCUUAUAAUUAUGAUCAGUGCAUUUUCUCAUUUUAUGUAUUAAUGAUAUUGUUUUUCCACAAGUUAGGUAACAAUUAAUCAUUAUUUAUCUUUCAGUCUAGUCGUAUUUAUCUAAUUGUGUUGACCUCUUAUAUUAUCAUUUUUCAAGUAAUAUUGUUUUUAAAUCACUUAAUCCUACUUCAUGUGGUUUAGAGAUUCUGAUGUCAUUAUUAUGCCGCAAUUUACCUUUUACCUAUUCCUGUCUUUCUUAUUCUCCUCUAAGCCAUUGGUUCUACAAAAAAAACCCCACCCUACAAUUCAAGCUUUAAUAUAUGCUUUUAUGUAUUUACACAUUUUCUCCUGCUAGGAAUUAGGGAGUACCAUUUAAAUAUAGCUAUAUGGGGGGGUAGUUUGACUAUAACAUAAUGGACUUGGCAGUAUUUGUCCAUCUCUACACAGCUCCAUAUUGGCUGGUUUACAAAAUAAUAGUGUGGCUUUAUAUUCUGUUUACAACACUCUUCCAACUUCUCUUUGGGCACUUAUAUCCCCCCUCUAUUUGUGAGAAGUGAAGACCCAUGCUGGCUUAGUGUGAUGGUACUUGCACUCUGCCAGAGUGGAGUCCUGUUAAGGUCUCAAUCCUGUUAGUGCAGCAUCACAUCAUAUAUGGUGCUUACUGAUACUUUGUAUCAAUUACAUUCCAGGCACAGUGACAGAAAUUAGCAGUCAGAGGAUAAGAUCUCACAAUCGGCACUUAUAUCACCCCUUUAUUUGUGAGAAGUGAAGACCCAGCUGGCUGAGUGUGAUGGUAUUUGCACUCUGCCAGACUGAAGUCCUGUCAAUGGCUCUAUCCUGUUAGUGCUGCAGCACAUCAAUGUAUGGGGCCUACUGAUACUUUGUAUCAAUUGCAUUCCAGAUACAGUGCCAGAAAGUAGCAGGCAGAGGGAAUGAUUUUACCAUCCAUACA